This 468-nucleotide ribosomal RNA is filed under the name uncultured bacterium. Its description in RNAcentral is "partial 16S ribosomal RNA". It matches the Rfam family "Bacterial small subunit ribosomal RNA", at positions 28 to 507 of the family's 1533-position model. The record is from RNAcentral.
GAUGAACGCUGGCGGCGUGCCUAAUACAUGCAAGUCGAACGGAAAGGCGCGGCGCUUGCUGGGCGCUCGAUAGGCGAAGGGGUGAGAAACACGCGAGGAACACGUACCUGUAUGAGUGAGAACUCUAGGGAACAGCGGCGAUAAUCCGAGAGGAUCUUUUGCUCCGCAGGGGGCGAUGGUAAGAGUCGGUGGUGGUGGAAGGAAUCGCUGCUUAUGAGCUGGAUUGUCGGGUAGGUGCGGACCAAGCUUACGACGGAUAGCCGGCCUGGGAGGGUGACCGGCCACAUGGGGACUGAGAUACGGAGCAGUCUCCUACGGUAGGCAGCAGUGGAGAGUAUUGCGCAAUGAGGGGAAGCCUGAUGCAGCAACGCCGCGUGCGGGAUGCCGGCCUUCGAGUGGUGAACCGCUUUCGCAUGUGACGAAGCGUGAGUGACGGUAAUGAGUCAGAAAGCACCGGCUAACUACGUG